This is an RNA transcript of Cucumis melo (muskmelon), 1451 nucleotides long. It is a transcript of the gene named PHD finger protein ALFIN-LIKE 5-like, with no coding region annotated. The transcript is spliced from 6 exons. The record is from RefSeq and is a predicted model, not a curated record. Lineage: Eukaryota; Viridiplantae; Streptophyta; Magnoliopsida; Cucurbitales; Cucurbitaceae.
UAACAAAUGAGUCUUUUAAUAGCAUCCAAGCAUAGCAUGUUAAUGUUAAUGUUAUAAUAAAUAGAAGGAAAAGACACAGUGGAAAACAAAAAUAAAAGCGCGGAAAACAAAACCCAAAUGCCCUUUUUCAUUUUUUUCAAUCUUCCCCCAAUUUUUCUUUUCUCGCUGACCCCUCCCUCAACGUGGCUACCACCUGAACGUCACCGCCGACUCACUGCACUCCUCGCCCAACGGCUCUCUGCUCAUCGAACUGGUCGCCGACUCGUCGCACCGAACAGAUCCGCCAGGAAUUCGCUUUCUUGAUGCCUUUUCUGGUUUUCGUGAAGCUUCGACAAUUCCUCGGUUCCAUCAUCUUCUUCAUAUUCAACUUUCUGAUCACGGACGUUUCUGCAACUAUUGGCAACUGUAUUUUGAUCACUGACGACAAGCAUUUCUUCCUAAUCAAUAAUAAGAUAAUGGCUUCUAGUUUGACUGGAUCGACGAUGAGGGACCCCCUUUCAGAGAAUCUUAUGGGCUACUAAAUAUUCUAGUUGUAGCAAUAGUUAGUAAAAUUUGCAAAUGUGGCUUUGAGAAUCUUUUAUUUUACUAGUCAUUGAUAUUUUUCUUUUCAUACAUGAUUGGCUUAUUAAUUGAAGUAUUCCAUAGUUGAGCAAUGAGUUCCAUUCAUACUAAACUAAGGAAGCUGGCUAUUUUUACUUUGGUCUGUGCUCAAAUUUUUAAGCCGUUUUAGUACUUAUUCAUUUUCUAUUGAACAGUCUCAUAGGGCAUAUGAUCAAAUGGAAAUGGCAUCUUUCUUGAAUUUUGAAGUGUUUUUUUUUCCCGAAUAUGUUGACAAGCAUGUUAGAAUGAAGGAAAAGCUAGGGAAAUCUGGAUAAGGCAGUUGAGCAUGGUGAAUUAUCCAAACCACUUAUUUAGGCCUUGAUACAUUUUGAGGCAAUUCAGUCUACGGCAAAGAGAAUUGAUUAUUUAGAUUCAUUAGUUGAAAAGGUCAUAGUGCCCAACACAGAGAAAGCAACGGUCGUGAGUGCUUCAAUGAGGGAGGAGUUAUCAAGCAUUUUCUUCGAGAGAGAAGCUGAAAAGCAAGGAAUGUACGCAAGGCAGUCACAGGCAAGGGAAGAGGUAGAGACGUUGUGUGAAGAAGAUGAAGACGAGCACGGUGACACCUUAUGUGGGGUAUGCGAUGAGAACUAUGCUUCAGAUGAAUUUUGGAUUUGCUGUGAUAUUUGUGAGAAAUGGUUCCACGAAAAAUUUGUUGUAUGAAGAAAUGCUUCAGUUUAUCAGUUUUCUUGUGAUGUAUUGAGCUUUCUAAAACAGGGUAGUUGGUUUUUGUUUAGGUUUGUUCUUAAAGGAUUUUUUUCCUUUAUAAACAAAAUUGUAAUGCAUAGAAGAUAACAUAUAUUAUUCAAUGAGAUAUUAUAUGUAUAGUUCUAUGGUAAUUCUUCUAUUAAUAA